This 487-nucleotide ribosomal RNA is filed under the name bacterium A4E4. RNAcentral describes it as "bacterial SSU rRNA". It matches the Rfam family "Bacterial small subunit ribosomal RNA", at positions 365 to 847 of the family's 1533-position model. The record is from RNAcentral.
GGUAACAUGGGGGCACCCUGAUCAGCAUGCCGCGUGUAUGAAGAAGGCCUUCGGGUUGUAAAGUCCUUUCGUGGGGGACGAAAAGGUGGUUACUAAUACUAGGUGGUGUUGACGUGAACCCAAGAAUAAGCACCGGCUAACUCCGUGCCAGCAGCCGCGGUAAUACGGGGGGUGCAAGCGUUAAUCGGAAUCACUGGGCGUAAAGGGUGCGUAGGCGGUACGUUAGGUCUGUCGUGAAAUCCCCGGGCUCAACCUGGGAAUGGCGGUAGAAACCGGCGCGCUAGAGUAUGGGAGAGGGUGGUGGAAUUCCCGGUGUAGCGGUGAAAUGCGUAGAGAUCUGGAAGAACAUCAGUGGCGAAAGGGGACACCUGGGCCAAUACUGACGCUGAAGCACGAAAGCGUGGGGAGCAAACAGGAUUGGAUACCCUGGUAGUCCACGCCCUAAACGAAGAAUACUAGAUGUUUGGUAGCUACCGUACUGAGUGUC